UACGUAGGUGGCUAGCGUUGUCCGGAUUUACUGGGCGUAAAGAGCGCGCAGGCGGUCGUUCAAGUCGAGUGUGAAAGCCCCCGGCUCAACUGGGGAGGGUCACUCGAUACUGAUCGACUCGAAGGCAGGAGAGGGAAGCGGAAUUCCCGGUGUAGUGGUGAAAUGCGUAGAGAUCGGGAGGAACACCCGUGGCGAAGGCGGCGCACUGGGCUGACCGUGACGCUGAGGCGCGAAGGCGUGGGGAGCGAACGGG
This 253-nucleotide ribosomal RNA is filed under the name uncultured bacterium. RNAcentral's name for it is "partial 16S ribosomal RNA". It matches the Rfam family "Bacterial small subunit ribosomal RNA", at positions 524 to 776 of the family's 1533-position model. The record is from RNAcentral.